AGCCAUCGCAUUAAAAUUACAUUUGUAAACAUUGAAAUUUUAGUGAAAUAAAUGUUGACCAUUGCAUUAAAACUACAACAAUCCACCCAAAUUCACCUACAACCUCCACCCAAAUUCACCUACAACAUACACCCAAAUUCACCUACAACAAUCCACCCAAAUUCACCUACAACCUCCACCCAAAUUCACCUACAACAUACACCCAAAUUCACCUACAACAAUCCAUCCAAAUUCACCUACAACCUCCACCCAAAUUCACCUACAACAAUCCAUCCAAAUUCACCUACAACCUCCACCCAAAUUCACCUACAACAAUCCACC
RNAcentral lists this long non-coding RNA (321 nucleotides) under Malus domestica (apple). RNAcentral describes it as "long non-coding RNA (MDOM_LNC015811)". Lineage: Eukaryota; Viridiplantae; Streptophyta; Magnoliopsida; Rosales; Rosaceae. The record is from RNAcentral.